RNAcentral lists this ribosomal RNA (385 nucleotides) under uncultured prokaryote. RNAcentral describes it as "bacterial SSU rRNA". It matches the Rfam family "Archaeal small subunit ribosomal RNA", at positions 339 to 725 of the family's 1478-position model. The record is from RNAcentral.
GCGCGAAAACUUACAAUGCUGGCAACAGCGAUAAGGGAACCUCGAGUGCCAGGUUACAAAUCUGGCUGCCGAGAUGCCUAAAAAGCAUUUCAUAGCAAGGGCCGGGCAAGACCGGUGCCAGCCGCCGCGGUAACACCGGCGGCUCGAGUGGUAACCGUUAUUAUUGGGUCUAAAGGGUCUGUAGCCGGCCGGAUAAGUCUCUUGAGAAAUCUGGCAGCUUAACUGUCAGGCUUUCAGGAGAUACUGUCUGGCUCGAGGCCGGGAGAGGUGAGAGGUACUUCAGGGGUAGGGGUGAAAUCUUGUAAUCCUUGAAGGACAACCAGUGGCGAAGGCGUCUCACCAGAACGGACCUGACGGCAAGGGACGAAAGCUAGGGGCACGAACC